Molecule: long non-coding RNA, 294 nt
Organism: Asparagus officinalis (garden asparagus)
Lineage: Eukaryota; Viridiplantae; Streptophyta; Magnoliopsida; Asparagales; Asparagaceae
Exons: 3
Source: RefSeq, a predicted model, not a curated record
AGAAAGCAAUGACUAGAGCCAAAAAUAAAAAAGAUAGACGUUGCCACGGGUAUGGUAAAGUAGGCCAAUCACAUGAUAAGCGAAAUUGUCAGGCACUCACAAAUCCGUCUUCUACAUGCGGUGAUACAAAUCUGCAAGAGGGUAAUGAGUCAUCAAGUGAAGAUGUGGAUCUUUUUGAAGAUUAAGAGGGAGCUUGACAAUCAGGAGCUUGAAUCAAGACAUUCUAAGAUGUAUCAAUAUUAGCCUUGACAAUCAGGAGCUUGAAUCAGGAGUGUGUUUCUUCUUAUAAUUCGC